GACGUAGGGGGCAAGCGUUGUUCGGAAUUAUUGGGCGUAAAGCGCUCGUAGGCGGGACAGGAAGUUCGUGUUGAAAGACCUCGGCUCAACUGAGGGACCGGCUCGAAUACUCUUGUUCUUGAGGCAAUCAGAGGGUGAUGGAAUUCCCGGUGUAGCGGUGAAAUGUGUAGAUAUAUGGAAGAACACCAAUAACGGCGAAGGCAGUUAACUAUUCUGUUACUGACAUUGAGGCACGAAAGCGUGGGGAGCAAAACGG
Molecule: ribosomal RNA, 256 nt
Filed under: uncultured bacterium
Lineage: Bacteria
Description: partial 16S ribosomal RNA
Rfam family: Bacterial small subunit ribosomal RNA
Source: RNAcentral